RNAcentral lists this ribosomal RNA (491 nucleotides) under uncultured bacterium. RNAcentral describes it as "partial 16S ribosomal RNA". It matches the Rfam family "Bacterial small subunit ribosomal RNA", at positions 29 to 507 of the family's 1533-position model. The record is from RNAcentral.
AGUGAACGCUGGCGGUAGGCCUAACACAUGCAAGUCGAACGGCAGCACAGUAAGAGCUUGCUCUUACGGGUGGCGAGUGGCGGACGGGUGAGGAAUACAUCGGAAUCUACUUUUUCGUGGGGGAUAACGUAGGGAAACUUACGCUAAUACCGCAUACGACCUACGGGUGAAAGCAGGGGAUCUUCGGACCUUGCGCGAUUGAAUGAGCCGAUGUCGGAUUAGCUAGUUGGCGGGGUAAAGGCCCACCAAGGCGACGAUCCGUAGCUGGUCUGAGAGGAUGGUCCGCCCCACUGAACCUGAGCCCCGGUCCAGGCUCUUACGGACGGCCGAGGUGGGAAAUGUAGGCAACUGGGCGCAAGCCUGCUCCAGCCAUACAGGGUGGGUGAAGAAGGCCUUCGGGUUGUAAAGCCCUUUUGUUGGGAAAAAAAGCCGGCGGUUUAAACCCCGCUGUUCUGACGGUACCCAAAGAAUAAGCACCGGCUAACUUCGUG